RNAcentral lists this long non-coding RNA (1460 nucleotides) under Gallus gallus (chicken). Its description in RNAcentral is "lncRNA (ENSGALG00010020020.1)". Lineage: Eukaryota; Metazoa; Chordata; Aves; Galliformes; Phasianidae. The record is from RNAcentral.
GUUUUUUCAUGAGGAAAGAAAGAAGAUGAGCUGAGCAGAGUGGUGGGACCAAGUACUGCAAGGUCAACCUGAGCUUUUUAUCCAUCUCCUUACCCUUGGCAGCUGAGAAGACCACCAGGCUGAACAGCCCCCUAAUUACUGUGAUGGCAUUGCCUUGAUUUUGUACUGCAACAUGGCUGUGAUUUGGAGCUUGUCAGCUGAAACUGCUCCACAGAACUGUUGCUCUUUAUCUGGGCUGAGCAAUCAACUUGACAGAGUAUGUGUUUUGCCUGUUUCCCUUGAGCUGGAACUUCAGUACCUGAGAGAACUUGGCCGCAUGUGUGAUUUUUCUGGAAUUCACAGUCUGUCCCCUGCAGCCUCCUGCAAAACCUUGAGAGUUGAAUCUCUGAAGUCUGAUAAGUGUGCACAUUUGUUGGGAGGCGAUAUUUACAGCUCUUUCCCUCCAUGGAUGCAUAGGUAGGACCUCUGACUCCCAAAGGACUUCCUGUUCUUCAAGAAAUCAUAAGCUCUUUUGCUCUUGAAAGAUGCCGAUAAUCAAAGCACACAGACCUGUACGUUCAGAGUACAGCUAAGUGGGUGUGCAGGAGAGGAAGGAGCCGCAUUGCCCAGUGAAAACUCAAGCUUCACGUUCAGCUUAGUGAUCUCGCUUCUUUGUGCAUCCAAGUGGCAGCAGUUGGGCAGUCUGACAGAAUGGUGCGUGACAUGAAAAUUUGUCUGAAGCAAAGGUGUGUCACUGAAUUCCUUUGUACGAAAAAGUUGUACCCAUUGACAUUCAUUGACACAGUGGAUCUUAGCACAGUGAAGUCUGGACUACGUGGACAGCAUCUUCCAAGCAAUUAUGCCAUCACAGCAGCUGUAAAAGAGUGGUCACCUCUACUGAUGUAGAUUUUCACAAACGUAGCAUGCAGGCUUUUGUUCAUCGCUGGUGAAAAUGCAUAGUUAAUGGUGACAACUGUUGAAAAAUUGUGUUCUGUAGCUCCAAAUUUGUUCUAUCAAAUAGUGCUGUUGUGCUGUUUGUGUCUGUUGUAGCUUCCAUGGGAAUAAAUAGGAGGCCUAGAGUGACCUGUGUAGCAUUCACAUGCAGAAUAAUGUCUCAUCUUGUUGUACUGUUUCAGGAUUACCUUCUGCCUAACAUUUCAGCCCAUGUACUUAAAAGUUGUUCUUGAAGACUAUUCUAACGGAAUGGUAACCUGUGCUGUCACAGGAGAGGCAGAAACUAUUGCAUGGAAGUUAAAAUAUGUAUGUCUUAUUGUUAAGUCUGUAUUUAGUAGUCAGCUGAAAUAGCUUAGGGCUAAUUGUUCUCUUUCCACUGAAUUUUCUGUGUGCUAAUAGCAGUGACAUUGGUCAGUCUUGUGAUUUUAUAGUGGAAAAAAGUAAUUGGAAACAGAUAUCACACACUUCUGCUUGCUUUUUAUUUUUACUGAGCUUUCUCCCCUUCAGAAAUAACUUCUCACAGUGAC